UGAUCCUGCNGGACCCCACUGCUAUCGGGAUAGGACUAAGACAUGCUAGUCGCGUGCUUCAGCCAAAACGAGGCACGGCAAACAGCUCAGUAACACGUGGCUAAUCUGCCCUUAGGACGCGAACAACCCCGGGAAACUGGGGCUAAUUCUCGAUAGGUGAAGAACUCUGGAAUGAGUCUUUGCCUAAAAGAGCUUACGUUAUGCUCGUAAGUUUCGCCUAAGGAUGAGGCCGCGACCGAUCAGGUUGUUGGUGAGGUAAUGGCUCACCAAGCCUUUUACCGGUGCGGGCCGUGAGAGCGGGAGCCCGGAGAUAGGCACUGAGACAAGGGCCCAGGCCCUACGGGGCGCAGCAGUCGCGAAAACUUUGCAAUACACGAAAGUGUGACAGGGCUAUCCCGAGUGCCAUCCGCUGAGGAAGGCUUUUACCCAGUCUAGAACGCUGGGGGAAUAAGGAGAGGGCAAGUCUGGUGUCAGCCGCCGCGGUAAUACCAGCUCUCCGAGUGGUGUGGAUGUUUAUUGGGCCUAAAGCAUCCGUAGCUGGCUAAGUAAGUCCCUUGUUAAAUCCACCGAAUUAAUCGUUGGAUUGCGGGGGAUACUGCUUGGCUAGGGGACGAGAGAGGCAGACGGUAUUUUCGGGGUAGGGGUGAAAUCCUAUAAUCCCGGGAAGACCACCAGUGGCGAAGGCUGUCUGCUAGAACGCGCCCGACGGUGAGGGAUGAAAGCUGGGGGAGCGAACCGGAUUAGAUACCCGGGUAGUCCCAGCUGUAAACGAUGCGCGUUAGGUGUAUCGGUGACUACGAGUUACCGAGGUGCCGAAGAGAAAUCGUGAAACGUGCCGCCUGGGAAGUACGGUCGCAAGGCUGAAACUUAAAGGAAUUGGCGG
RNAcentral lists this ribosomal RNA (883 nucleotides) under uncultured archaeon. RNAcentral's name for it is "bacterial SSU rRNA". It matches the Rfam family "Archaeal small subunit ribosomal RNA", at positions 9 to 871 of the family's 1478-position model. The record is from RNAcentral.